GCGAGGGGGGCGUGCUGGAUACGACCCUGGGUACCGGGCACGAUACCGCCCUUUGCUUAACCAAAGCAUGCGGCUGGAAGUCAAGACCCACGUUGUACCCACUUAAGGAGACAGCACUUAAUCAAGUACAAAGAAACUUUUAAAAAAGCAUUUAAGUGUUAAUCCAAAGUAAGGGAACAAGAACUAUGUCUUGAACCUUUCUGACUCCUCCUUACCUAGAGGAUAUGCGCCACCAACACCUCCAGCUACACAUCGGCUGCUUCUUGGUGACAUUUUUACAAUAUGCGCACAUAUGCGUAUUGUAAAAAUAUGAUAAAUAUUUGAUCAAAUUCCUGGUCUUCUACAAUAUGCACACAUAUGCAUACUGUAAAAAUAUGAUAAAUAUUUGAUCAAAUUCCUGGUCUUCUACAAUAUGCACACAUAUGCAUAUUUGAAAAAUAUGAUUAUUACAGAACUUUACAAAAACUAUGGGGCUUAUGAAAUAUCUUCAGUAUCUUAGUCCUUAAUUUCUUUUGUGUAACCUAAGGUUUCAUAAAUCAUCACAAAAUUAAAGCAAUGACAGAGUCACAGAAAAUAUGACUGAGUAAAUUAUCAUAGGCACAUGUACGCGUUUAAGAAAAUUUAAAACAGAAGGGGGAUGCAUCUCUAGCUCAAUACAAUCGUUAUACCCUCAUCAAAUCCAAGAGGAAAACCCUCAAAUGCUUUGUUCUCUCCUUAAAUCAAAAGAAUAAAAGCUUUCAGGAGUGUUUUAAUACUGAGUCACUAAUCUGUUUAUAACAGGUUUGCACCACAGCUACUAAGGUUUAUAGUACCUUUAAUUUAUUUUGGGCCGCGCCCUGCGGCUUGCAGGAUCUUAGUUACCUGACCAGGGAUUGAACCCGCACCCUCGGCAGUGAAAGUGCAAAGUCCUAACCACUGGACCGCCAGGUAAUUCCCUACAGUAGCUUUAUUUUUUAAUAACCAAACGUGGGAAGCAGUACAGGUACCCAUCAACUGGUGGUGAAUUAAUAAACACACGCAGAAAAUCGCCCAGCAACGAAAAGGAACAAACUACUGAUAUGUGUAACCGCCAAGGAUGAACCUCAAAAGCACCAGCCAAGGGACAGCAGCCAGACCCAAAGACUGCGACACAGCGCGAUGCCCUAGACGGCGUUCUGGAAAGGCAGAGCCACAGGGGGAGAGAUCAGACCGGUGGCGCCAGGAUUUGGGGUUGGAGGGCAGGGACGGGCUCCAAAAGGCCGCCAGGAACUUUCUGAGGUGAUAGAAAUGCUCUACAUCUCGACCGCAGUGGUGCGUCCAUUUCUCAAAACUCCCUGAACACCUAAAAGGGGUGAAUUUUACCAUGUGUGAGCUAUGCCUCUGUAAACCUUAAAUAUUAGAAAUCUUAGUGGCACAAACAUUCUACAUUAUGGGGAGUGUUUUGUUACAUUUAUCCAAGGCGAAUUUCACCCGUGUUCAAGACUGUCCCACUGCGCUGAGCAAAACCGCCAGGAUGGUCUCCUUGCAGCCCCAGACCCAGGCUGGUCACCAGGCUUUGUCACCGGAGUGGGGUUUUACUAGGUUUCUCCACACCUGGACAUCAGCAUUCCAACUGAGAACUGAAAUACCUUUGCUAAAGUUCUCCUGUUGGUAUUUGCCCUGCUUGUCGUUCAGUUGGUUACUCUCUCCAUGGUUGGUACACAUCUCUGCCACUCCCCGAGAAUGGGAAGCUCUUUGGGAAGGCGAGCACCCCUGCUUCCUUCCACACACGUCAACUCAGCUCCUCCUUUUCCUCAAAAUAAGGCCUUGUAUAUAGCAGGUGUGCAACAGUGUUAAAAUAAAUCUAGUUCUACAACCUGAAACCCUAUCCCCCAAAGUGACUGUCUUUAGAAAGAAGGCCUGCAAAAGAUAAAAGUUAAAUGACAUCAUUAGGGUGGGGCCUUAAUCUGAUAGGGCUGAGGCAUUUAUAAGAGGGAGACGCCAAAGAUCUCUUGGUCCAGCAGGCCAGGACACAGCGAGAAGGCAGCUGCCUGCAAUCCGGGAAGAGGGUUCUCACCAGGAAACAAACUGACUGGCACCGUGAUCUUGGACUUCCUAGACUCCAGAACUUGACCCCAUGAAGUAGCUACAAAGGCACCAGAAGGUCAGAGAAGAUGCUUUGGGUAGUAAUACCCUUGAGAAAACUGCAUUCCAGGGGAUAAAUUAUUGCACCUACUUCAUAAUGCUGCAGUGAGAAUUAAAUAACCUGCAUGAAACACGCAGAAGUAACUGGGCCGACCAAUACGUGAAUAAACGGCAGCUGUUACACGACGGCCCAUUCCACCGGAAAAACGGGGCAGCAGAACGCGCCCCGCCCAGGAGCCUCCCACAGCCCGGUGGGCCCGGUCUCGCCCAGCCCCCGCUCUCAGGCCCCGGAUCCAGUCCACCAGCACUCGGACCCCGUCGCCCGCCCCCAUCCCGGGUCCCCGGUCCCCGCCCCCGUGCCCGGACCCGUCCCCGGCUCGCCCCCAGUCCGUCCCACGUCUCCCACGCCCGCUCCCCGCCCCGCACCUCU
Molecule: long non-coding RNA, 2533 nt
Organism: Balaenoptera musculus (blue whale)
Lineage: Eukaryota; Metazoa; Chordata; Mammalia; Artiodactyla; Balaenopteridae
Exons: 3
Source: RefSeq, a predicted model, not a curated record